RNAcentral lists this ribosomal RNA (569 nucleotides) under uncultured Ascomycota. RNAcentral's name for it is "eukaryotic LSU rRNA". The stretch from base 203 to 356 matches the Rfam family "5.8S ribosomal RNA". Lineage: Eukaryota; Fungi; Ascomycota. The record is from RNAcentral.
CUUGGUCAUUUAGAGGAAGUAAAAGUCGUAACAAGGUCUCCGUUGGUGAACCAGCGGAGGGAUCAUUACAGAGUUGCAAAACUCCCAACCCUUUGUGAACGAACCUACCAGUUGCCUCGGCGGCGAGCCUUUCAAGCGGACCGCCGAAGGAAUACAAACUCUUUGCAUUAUAGUAUCUCUGAUUACUUAUUCAAUAAGUUAAAACUUUCAACAACGGAUCUCUUGGUUCUGGCAUCGAUGAAGAACGCAGCGAAAUGCGAUAAGUAAUGUGAAUUGCAGAAUUCAGUGAAUCAUCGAAUCUUUGAACGCACAUUGCGCCCGCUAGUAUUCUGGCGGGCAUGCCUGUUCGAGCGUCAUUUCAACCAUCAAGCCCUAGGCUUGUGUUGGAGCCCUGCGGCUGCCGCAGCCUCCUAAAAACAGUGGCGGGCUCGCUAUUACACCGAGUGCAGUAGUUUACUCUUCGCUCAGGGCGUGUGGCGGGUGCUGGCCGUGAAACCCCUACUUCUUAAGGUUGACCUCGGAUCAGGUAGGAAUACCCGCUGAACUUAAGCAUAUCAAUAAGCGGAGGA